GAUGAAGAACGUAGCAAAAUGCGAUAAGUAAUGUGAAUUGCAGAAUUCAGUGAAUCAUCGAAUCUUUGAACGCACAUUGAGCCCGCCAGUAUUCUGGCGGGCAUGCCUGUUCGAGCGUCAUUUCAACCCUCAAGCCCUCGGGUUUGGUGUUGGGGAUCGGCGAGCCUUUCUGGCAAGCCGGCCCCGAAAUCUAGUGGCGGUCUCGCUGCAGCCUCCAUUGCGUAGUAGUAAAACCCUCGCAACUGGAACGCGGCGCGGCCAAGCCGUUAAACCCCCAACUUCUGAAUGUUGACCUCGGAUCAGGUAGGAAUACCCGCUGAACUUAAGCAUAUCAAUAAGCGGAGGA
This 346-nucleotide unclassified non-coding RNA is filed under the name soil metagenome. Its description in RNAcentral is "partial contains 5.8S ribosomal RNA, internal transcribed spacer 2, and large subunit ribosomal RNA". The stretch from base 1 to 120 matches the Rfam family "5.8S ribosomal RNA", at positions 35 to 154 of the family's 154-position model. The record is from RNAcentral.